UCCAAUUGGAAUUUUUCGCUUUUUUGUGCUUAAAAUAAAGUCAUUAAAUUUAAUUUAACAAUAAUAAUUAUUACAUUUAAUAAAUAAUGACCAUAAAAAAAAUAUUCGCGUACCUGGUCUACCCAUGGAAUUUUGGAACUCUCAGAUCCAGAUGUUAUUUAUUAGGACCACAAGAUUCAGAAUCAGCCAUCUACGGCAAGCACAAAACAAGAAACAUUAUGGCACCAAACUGGGACCAUCAUUCCAGAAUGGUUUUUCUGUUCUGCAAAUUACAACUGUUUAUCUUCACUGCUUCGGUUUUAUUCCUAUAAUAACAAGGUCUCAGAGGAUAAUUUCACAUGCAAUAUUCAUGCUGUCAACUCAGCUUCUGGGCUCAAUGGUUUGAAGAGAGAUUCUAUUUCACUUUGAUCUACUUCUUCCAAGCUUNNNN
This 430-nucleotide long non-coding RNA is filed under the name Populus trichocarpa (black cottonwood). Its description in RNAcentral is "long non-coding RNA (PTRI_LNC001788)". The record is from RNAcentral. Lineage: Eukaryota; Viridiplantae; Streptophyta; Magnoliopsida; Malpighiales; Salicaceae.